RNAcentral lists this ribosomal RNA (1343 nucleotides) under uncultured bacterium. Its description in RNAcentral is "16S ribosomal RNA". It matches the Rfam family "Bacterial small subunit ribosomal RNA", at positions 28 to 1378 of the family's 1533-position model. The record is from RNAcentral.
GACGAACGCUGGCGGCGUGCUUAACACAUGCAAGUCGAACGGAAAGGCCCUGCUUUUGUGGGGUGCUCGAGUGGCGAACGGGUGAGUAACACGUGAGUAACCUGCCCUUGACUUUGGGAUAACUUCAGGAAACUGGGGCUAAUACCGGAUAGGAGCUCCUGCUGCAUGGUGGGGGUUGGAAAGUUUCGGCGGUUGGGGAUGGACUCGCGGCUUAUCAGCUUGUUGGUGGGGUAGUGGCUUACCAAGGCUUUGACGGGUAGCCGGCCUGAGAGGGUGACCGGCCACAUUGGGACUGAGAUACGGCCCAGACUCCUACGGGAGGCAGCAGUGGGGAAUAUUGCACAAUGGGCGGAAGCCUGAUGCAGCAACGCCGCGUGCGGGAUGACGGCCUUCGGGUUGUAAACCGCUUUCGCCUGUGACGAAGCGUGAGUGACGGUAAUGGGUAAAGAAGCACCGGCUAACUACGUGCCAGCAGCCGCGGUGAUACGUAGGGUGCGAGCGUUGUCCGGAUUUAUUGGGCGUAAAGGGCUCGUAGGUGGUUGAUCGCGUCGGAAGUGUAAUCUUGGGGCUUAACCCUGAGCGUGCUUUCGAUACGGGUUGACUUGAGGAAGGUAGGGGAGAAUGGAAUUCCUGGUGGAGCGGUGGAAUGCGCAGAUAUCAGGAGGAACACCAGUGGCGAAGGCGGUUCUCUGGGCCUUUCCUGACGCUGAGGAGCGAAAGCGUGGGGAGCGAACAGGCUUAGAUACCCUGGUAGUCCACGCUGUAAACGGUGGGUACUAGGUGUGGGGUCCACUCCACGGGUUCCGUGCCGUAGCUAACGCUUUAAGUACCCCGCCUGGGGAGUACGGCCGCAAGGCUAAAACUCAAAGGAAUUGACGGGGCCCCGCACAAGCGGCGGAGCAUGCGGAUUAAUUCGAUGCAACGCGUAGAACCUUACCUGGGUUUGACAUGGAUCGGGAGCGCUCAGAGAUGGGUGUGCCUCUUUUGGGGUCGGUUCACAGGUGGUGCAUGGCUGUCGUCAGCUCGUGUCGUGAGAUGUUGGGUUAAGUCCCGCAACGAGCGCAACCCUUGUUCACUGUUGCCAGCACGUUAUGGUGGGGACUCAGUGGAGACCGCCGGGGUCAACUCGGAGGAAGGUGGGGAUGACGUCAAGUCAUCAUGCCCCUUAUGUCCAGGGCUUCACGCAUGCUACAAUGGCUGGUACAGAGAGUGGCGAGCCUGUGAGGGUGAGCGAAUCUCGGAAAGCCGGUCUCAGUUCGGAUUGGGGUCUGCAACUCGACCUCAUGAAGUCGGAGUCGCUAGUAAUCGCAGAUCAGCAACACUGCGGUGAAUACGUUCCCGGG